RNAcentral lists this ribosomal RNA (588 nucleotides) under uncultured bacterium. RNAcentral describes it as "bacterial SSU rRNA". It matches the Rfam family "Bacterial small subunit ribosomal RNA", at positions 338 to 916 of the family's 1533-position model. The record is from RNAcentral.
CCUACGGGAGGCAGCAGUAGGGAAUCUUCCGCAAUGGACGAAAGUCUGACGGAGCAACGCCGCGUGAGCGAUGAAGGCCUUCGGGUCGUAAAGCUCUGUUGUUAGGGAAGAACAAGUGCUAGUUGAAUAAGCUGGCACCUUGACGGUACCUAACCAGAAAGCCACGGCUAACUACGUGCCAGCAGCCGCGGUAAUACGUAGGUGGCAAGCGUUGUCCGGAAUUAUUGGGCGUAAAGCGCGCGCAGGCGGUUUCUUAAGUCUGAUGUGAAAGCCCCCGGCUCAACCGGGGAGGGUCAUUGGAAACUGGGAAACUUGAGUGCAGAAGAGGAAAGUGGAAUUCCAAGUGUAGCGGUGAAAUGCGUAGAGAUUUGGAGGAACACCAGUGGUGAAGGCGACUUUCUGGUCUGUAACUGACGCUGAGGCGCGAAAGCGUGGGGAGCAAACAGGAUUAGAUACCCUGGUAGUCCACGCUGUAAACGAUGAGUGCUAAGUGUUAGAGGGUUUCCGCCCUUUAGUGCUGAAGUUAACGCAUUAAGCACUCCGCCUGGGGAGUACGGUCGCAAGACUGAAACUCAAAGGAAUUGACGG